This 348-nucleotide long non-coding RNA is filed under the name Mytilus galloprovincialis (Mediterranean mussel). The record is from RNAcentral. Lineage: Eukaryota; Metazoa; Mollusca; Bivalvia; Mytilida; Mytilidae.
UUUUGGUUGAAAACUAUAAGUUUACAAUAACAAUCGCUAUACUGGUUUGUGUCGCUCAAUCUUUGCUUUUCUAUGUUGUGUUUUGUAUACUGUUAUUUGUCUUGGACAUUUUCUUUUUUUUCUUUUUUCCAUGUCUUUUGUAGACGGUUUGUUUUCGACUUGUGAGUUUGAGUGUCCCUAAAGAAUCCCUUUUCUUUCUUUUUAAAAACCUACAUAUUGUUAAUUCCUUUGUACCACAAAAUGAAAUGUUAUUAAUUGGUUAUAUGUCUGUGAGAUAGUCAUCCAUGUUUCAGAAUACAAGCAAUGAACAACCCAUAAAAAGAAGGAUAAGAUUUUUUUUUAUUAAUU